CUUGUUACUGAUUCCAAUUCUUGCCUCCCUUCAAUUUUUAGGUCACCAAGUGUCAUUUGAAUUGAUUUUCGAUUUAUUUCAGCUGUAUCUGUAUCUUUGAAAGUAUUUCUAAGGAUAAGUUGUAAAGAGUGGAUUGCAUCCAUUUCGUAGUCCUUCCAAGGCAAACUUCUUGUCUUGACUACUUCAAGGAAAGCCUUGAAAG
This 202-nucleotide unclassified non-coding RNA is filed under the name Hevea brasiliensis (rubber tree). Lineage: Eukaryota; Viridiplantae; Streptophyta; Magnoliopsida; Malpighiales; Euphorbiaceae. The record is from RNAcentral.